RNAcentral lists this ribosomal RNA (344 nucleotides) under uncultured bacterium. RNAcentral describes it as "bacterial SSU rRNA". It matches the Rfam family "Bacterial small subunit ribosomal RNA", at positions 917 to 1264 of the family's 1533-position model. The record is from RNAcentral.
GGGCCCGCACAAGCGGUGGAGCAUGUGGUUUAAUUCGAUGAUACGCGAGGAACCUUACCAGGGCUUAAAUGCAGAAUGACAGAUUGGGAAACCAGUCCUUCUUCGGACAUUUUGCAAGGUGCUGCAUGGUUGUCGUCAGCUCGUGCCGUGAGGUGUCAGUUAAGUCCUAUAACGAGCGCAACCCCUAUCAUUAGUUGCCAGCGGGUAAUGCCGGGAACUCUAAUGAGACUGCCAGCGCAAGCUGCGAGGAAGGUGGGGAUGACGUCAAAUCAUCACGGCCCUUACGUCCUGGGCUACACACGUGCUACAAUGGUUGGGACAAUGGGCAGCCACUACGCAAGUAG